RNAcentral lists this ribosomal RNA (468 nucleotides) under uncultured bacterium. RNAcentral describes it as "partial 16S ribosomal RNA". It matches the Rfam family "Bacterial small subunit ribosomal RNA", at positions 28 to 507 of the family's 1533-position model. The record is from RNAcentral.
GACGAGCGCUGGCGGCGUGCUUAACACAUGCAAGUCGAACGGAAAGGCCCUUCUUUUGUGGUGUGCUCGAGUGGCGAAAGGGUGAGUAACACGUGAUUAACCUGCCCUUGACUUUGGGAUAACUUCAGGAAACUGGGGCUAAUACCGGAUAGGAUCUCCUGCUGCAUGGUGGGGGUUGGAAAUUUUCGGCGGUUGGGGAUGGACUCGCGGCUUAUCAGCUUGUUGGUGGGGUAGUGGCUUACCAAGGCUUUGACGGGUAGCCGGCCUGAGAGGGUGACCGGCCACAUUGGGACUGAGAUACGGCCCAGACUCCUACGGGAGGCAGCAGUGGGGAAUAUUGCACAAUGGGCGGAAGCCUGAUGCAGCAACGCCGCGUGCGGGAUGACGGCCUUCGGGUUGUAAACCGCUUUCGCCUGUGACGAAGCGUGAGUGACGGUAAUGGGUAAAGAAGCACCGGCUAACUACGUG